Non-coding RNA from Callithrix jacchus (white-tufted-ear marmoset), 415 nucleotides. The record is from RefSeq and is a predicted model, not a curated record. Lineage: Eukaryota; Metazoa; Chordata; Mammalia; Primates; Cebidae.
GGAUUCACUCUCUUCCUCCCUGCAGUGGUGGCACGGGAAACAUCCUCCAGCCCGGGUCUUCGCUCACAGUGCAGCCUCUGCACACAGGUCAUCCACCUGCAGACCUUGACGGGACCCUCAGCCUCCCUGCUCUGACCAUCUGGUUUAAUAGCUGAGGAACCAGAAGCCAAGACAGGGCCUGGACGGUGAAGACCAGGCUGUUUCCAUCUUCAGCACCCCGAAAGCCACCUGCGCAUAGGAAGAUGGUCAAGGGGCUCAUCUGGAAUCCCUCCUCACUUGCUGGACCGAGGACCUCGCCCUGUUCCCCUCGUUAGUGCUGAGUCCAUCAGCCCAGCAAAACAGGUCUCUCCAGCAGUUUCUACAAAAUAGACCACAGCCGGGCCUGGAGUCAGCCCCCGAUAAAGGAUUCAUCAUG